Molecule: ribosomal RNA, 312 nt
Filed under: uncultured eukaryote
Lineage: Eukaryota
Description: partial 18S ribosomal RNA
Rfam family: Eukaryotic small subunit ribosomal RNA
Source: RNAcentral
CCCUUAGAUGUCCUGGGCGGCCCGCGCGCUACAAUGUCAGCUACUGAAGGUUAAUGCUUUGAAAGAGAGCGCGCUCUCCUUUUAAUUGCUCGCAUGCUGGGAUAAAUGAAUGCAAUUUUGUUUUGAACGAGGAAUUCCUAGUAGCCAUGUUUCACUAGAAGAUGGCGAAUGCGUCCCUGCCCUUUGUACACACCGCCCGUCGUUCCUACCGAUGAGCGUUUUGGCGAAGACGGUUUGAGUAGCUGCGUAAUUUCGUGUUGUUGACUCCGGCAGUUUGAGCCUUCACGUUUAGAGGAAGGAGAAGUCGUAACA